CCCUCAAGCCUUGACCAUUAAUGAAACCUCAGAAUACAUGGGGGGGACAUGAGACCUAAACCCCAAAAUACAAUAAGCAUAGAGAGAACAUCCUAGAUUAAAACCGGGAUUCUCCACAAAAUCUAUGUAUUCUAACAAGCACCAAUUAGCGAAGAGUGCAACAUUGUUAUCAAAACAGAUGACCACACAGAUUUGAUUUGUAACCCCCAUUGUUUUUCACCAACCAAUUUAAAGCAUAUAAGGAAACUCAUUCUACUUUCCAGCAACGCUUGUUCUAGAAUUCUCUCAAUUUGCCUAUAUAAACAACCUAAAGAUUGCUCAAAAUUCAUCCAUGUCUAUCAUUCCCAAUUCUCUAUAUACUGGAUAUCCUUUUGAUUUCAUAAAGGGAAUUAUGAAACCUUCUGCUGCAUUAGACCAUGGUAUAUGGUUCUGAAAUACUCACCGAAUCCAUGAUUUACCAGAGGAGGUUGACAACUGUGACUGUACUACUCAACAAUGCUCGGAGAAUCCAUUGGAAACUGUACAAACUGUGCCUCUUUGUUUAAUGUCAAUGCUGAAGACUAUCUGCACAAGGACAUCCGGAAGAGAUGGAAGUCGUGAAGUACUUGUUGAAGAAUAGUAAAGUUUUGAAGACGAUGACGAUCUCUACGUUAAGGAAUAAUUGUGGAGAUGCAAAGGCGUUGCAGAGGAAUUUACGUAUGUUUCCAAGAGCUUCAGAGACUUGUGAGGUUGAGUCUAUAUGAGCUGCAACUUCAGGUUAUAAAUUCACUCUGGCCUAAAACACGUCUCACAGUAAUUUUACGUUGAAUAGUCCAGCUUUUGUUAAUUCAGAGGGAUUAAUUCUCUAUUGAAGUUGUAAAAGCACCAAGUUGACCUCACUAUAUAUGACUUUGAAUAGUCCAGCUUUUGUUUUCAGAGGGAUUAAUUCUCUAUUGAAGUUGUAAAAGCGCCAUGUUGACCUUACUAUAUACGAAUCUAUUUGCAGUCGUUUUGUUUUUAA
Rosa rugosa (rugosa rose) is the source of this 1000-nucleotide long non-coding RNA. RefSeq lists it as uncharacterized. NCBI's taxonomy places the organism in Eukaryota, Viridiplantae, Streptophyta, Magnoliopsida, Rosales, Rosaceae. The transcript has 2 exons. The record is from RefSeq and is a predicted model, not a curated record.